RNAcentral lists this ribosomal RNA (600 nucleotides) under uncultured bacterium. Its description in RNAcentral is "bacterial SSU rRNA". It matches the Rfam family "Bacterial small subunit ribosomal RNA", at positions 338 to 957 of the family's 1533-position model. The record is from RNAcentral.
CCUACGGGAGGCAGCAGUGGGGAAUUUUCCGCAAUGGGCGAAAGCCUGACGGAGCAACGCCGCGUGAGGGAUGAAGGCCUCUGGGCUGUAAACCUCUUUUAUCAAGGAAGAAGAUCUGACGGUACUUGAUGAAUAAGCCACGGCUAAUUCCGUGCCAGCAGCCGCGGUAAUACGGGAGUGGCAAGCGUUAUCCGGAAUUAUUGGGCGUAAAGCGUCCGCAGGCGGUCUUGUAAGUCUGUCGUUAAAGCGUGGAGCUCAACUCCAUUUCGGCGGUGGAAACUACAAGACUAGAGUGUGGUAGGGGCAGAGGGAAUUCCCGGUGUAGCGGUGAAAUGCGUAGAUAUCGGGAAGAACACCAGUGGCGAAGGCGCUCUGCUGGGCCAUAACUGACGCUCAUGGACGAAAGCUAGGGGAGCGAAAGGGAUUAGAUACCCCUGUAGUCCUAGCCGUAAACGAUGAACACUAGGUGUCGGGGGAAUCGACCCCCUCGGUGUCGUAGCUAACGCGUUAAGUGUUCCGCCUGGGGAGUACGCACGCAAGUGUGAAACUCAAAUGAAUUGACGGCNGAGACGUGCCGAACGACGACGACGAGGGAGUAGG